RNAcentral lists this long non-coding RNA (4055 nucleotides) under Triticum aestivum (bread wheat). Its description in RNAcentral is "long non-coding RNA (TAES_LNC002529)". The stretch from base 3242 to 3328 matches the Rfam family "MIR1120/MIR1122 microRNA precursor family". Lineage: Eukaryota; Viridiplantae; Streptophyta; Magnoliopsida; Poales; Poaceae. The record is from RNAcentral.
UCCGCUUCCGGCGACAGGUGCCUCCAUCUCUGCCAACCAACAUUCGGUGACCAGAAGGUAGCCAUCUAUGGCGGCAGCAAAAUCAGUAAGGUUUCUUUCCCUCUUGUGUUGUCUCUCCCUCCACUCCCCCCUCCAGGCUGCAGAUUUGAAACUGGAGCGUGCAGAUUUAUAGUUUUCUAAAAAGUAUUUUCAUGAAUUAGUUAUAUUCGUUCAGUUGUUCGUCCCACCCCUCUGCAUAUCCGACCCAUUCUUAUGUAGUUUAUUAUUAUAUGAGAGGAAGGGGUAAGGGACUGUUAGUUAAGAACAGUUGCAUCUAUGUGUUCUCAGCAAGAAAGAGAAUGACACAGUUAAACAUUCAGAUUUAAGCAAUAGAUGGAUGGAACUUUUGUUUUGCAGUCUAAUAACGAGAUAAAAUAAAGGUUCUUUUAUUUUACUGAAAUUAACUUUUACUUGAGUGAGGUGCUAAGGUCAACCUCUAUACAUGCACAUCCCUGAACUGAAAAUACACCCAGGCACCAAUUUCGGACAGUACAAAAUUGAUAUGAUGCUUGCUUUGUGAGUGAGUAUAUUACUGCACAAUAUCUCUGAAUAAAAGGCAUGGUUAGAAAUAAACUGAACCAAACUAUCGACAUCAGAGAGCAUACAAUUAUGAGUUUAAUUUCUCAGUUACAGCAAUAAUUGUACUGUAUUUGUAAUGAUACAUUCUUACCCUGCCAAUAAAUAUUUGGUUCAGAGCCCUUGAUCAUGACAGCUAGAAAUUAGCAAACGCAUUACAUAUGUUCAGUAAAGCCUUUCAAUAUUUUUUCCGUCGAUGUCACAAAAUAAACACCCCAAUUAGUAUGUUUGAGCUUGGUGGUACGUGCCCCCAUCUCUCCCCACUUCAGGAGAAUAGGAGCCAGCCAUCCAUGGCAGAAACAACAUCGUAAGUUCUGUGUUUGUGUGUGUGUGCGCGCGCGCGUGCGUGUGUGUUUGUGUGUGCGUGUUCAGAUUCCAACUCCCACCGGUGGACCAGAUUUUUUUUAUUUGGUUGUAAGUUUAACCUCUUUCAAAAAGAAAUCGUGCAGCUUCGGUUCAUGGAAGCAGAAGUCCUUGAAGUAGUAAAUUAUUUUUUUGCAGGGGAAAUGAAUCUUUUGUAAGUUUGGGGAAAAAAGGCCACUGGAAGAUGUCCAUAGGCAUAUGCAUGCAUCCCAUCGACUUAAUGCUACUACAAUUUACUCUUCGAAGAACCUCUGUAAGUACGUAUGUGAGAGAGCAAGCAAUGUUGGAUGACGUUACUGUUUACUUCUGAUUGGCAUAUAGGACUAUGUUCUCGUCCAGUAUACAUAUCUCCAGUUUUCUAUUAAUUCUUUGGUACAAACGGAAUACAUGUAGCACUUGGUAAAUGUUUUCAUGUGAAAAUAUCAUACUGUAACAUUAUGUUCUAUUUAGUUCCCAGAAGUAAUACUUGGUUUCAACUUUGAAAGACCACAUGAAUUCUUCUAUGGGGCGUCCGAACAAAAGGAGCAUCCCGUCACUACGGUAAUUUCGGUCACUUAUCUGAACAAAAAGGGCUAUGAACUCUUAAUGAAAUUGGGUGUCCAUUGGGGAUCCUUUUAUUGGAAAAGAUAAUCUAUUCACAUGGGGGCUGGGUUCUCGUUGACGAACUGGUACAUGCUGCUCUUAAAUUAGAAAGCAGGAAACUACAGGCCUAGUUGACAUUGGACCUUUAUGUUGUUCUUUUUUCAUAUAGUGAAAAAGAGAGUUCAUGUUUUGCAUAUGGCCAUGUUAUCUUAUAGAACAAAAAUAGGGAUAUGUUGACAUUCGACUUUUAUGUCGUCAUUCUUCCAUGAUGGUUUGCCUACUGUUAAUAUCCUGUUCUCCAACUAACACAUUCUUGCAAGAAAUCACAAUUGAUGAAAUAAUUUUGAGCACUUACUUUUUAGAAUUUUAUGUUUACAAGAAGAUUUACUGGUUACAAAGAUUUAACAGACAAACCUCUUUUUCAGAAGGCUAUUUUAGAUCCCACUAAGACAAAAUAGAAGCGUGCUACUACUAGUGUGUAUACUGGAACAUAAUGCAUGUUUGACAUGAAUGGUAUUGAAAAUUUUGAGUUGUUAUGGUGUCCCUAAUAACUUAAAGUUGUUGUAUAAUUUAACUGAACCAUAGUACUCUCAAUCAGAGAGUAAGAAAUUGGGAGUUACUAAUUUCUUGUAGAUUAAUAGUUCUUUUAUAUGCAACCAUUCAGUUGACUUGUGAAGUAGUCAUGCUUGAAUAAGUGGGCUGUUGUGAUGGCCUUAAUAGUGCAAAGCUAUGCAUAUAAAGCUGUCAUGUUUGUAUAAGUGGGCAGUACACAAAGCUGCUGUCAUGACCUUACUGUCCAAAUCUAAUGGAAAAUUGUUCGAACUAGUGUGUAUACUAUAUUGGAACAUAAUGCAUGGUUAACAUAAAUGGUAUUGGAAUUAUUUAGUUGUUAUGGUGUUCCUAAUAGCUUAAACUGUUGUGAAGAUGAACUUAACCAAAUUACUCUCAAACUAGAGAGCAAGAAAUUGGGAGAUAGUUUCCUGUAUAGUAAUAGUUUCUGUAUGUGGAGCAAUUCAGUUACCUUGUGAAGUAAUAGUUGCUGCCAUGCUUGUAAGUGGGCUGGUGUCAUGACCUUAACAGCGUCAAGCUAUGCACGUAACAUUCACAUUUUAUUUUGAGUUUCGCUUCAGCAAUUACUUGUGAACUUUUCAGCACUAAACUGUAUUUGGCUGAGUAUAUCAAUAUUCAAACUUGUUUGUGUCGCUUUCACUGUUUUGUGAGCCAUUAAUCGUUGUAUUGGUGAAGUGAAUAUUAAUAUAAUUUAUCUCGAGGAGAAACCGAAAGAAUUCCAGAUCUUGAUGAAUGUAUACCUCGGUUUGUGAGGAUCUGAAGAAACCAUUUUUCCCUUUACAGAUAGUGGAGCAAGAUUUCUUAUAUAUGGGUGAGGGCGUCAAUCAAUGUUGGUAGUUGGGACAAGGAAUCUCAUGACUGCAAUAUAUAGCUACCAUGUUGGACCAGGUGCGAUUAUCUUGAGUAUAGCUAGACGGAAAAACAUCUUUCGAAGGUAACCUGAACAAUCCUGUUUAUUUUGUGAAAUUUAAAGUUAAAAUAAGGGAUGUAUUCACCAGCUAGUCAAUCUCCUUCCAGGAAGAAUAGUACAUAAAACUCUAUGCUUAGCACACAUCUGCUAUGGAAAGUACAUCAUCAUAAAGCCUAGUUACUUAAGUUGUCUUAGUAAGAUCUACUCCCUCCGUCCCAUAAUGUAAGACAUUUUUUGACACUACAUUAGAGUCAAAAAAUGUCUUAGAUUAUGGGACGGAGGGAGUACAAAUUUGUAUAAUAAGUCUGCACACGUGUAGUCCUUGAAAAUCAAAUUAAAUUGCUAGAUAAGCAUUGCUCAUUACUUGUCGAAUGCCAAAAAGUGAAAAUGAUCUCAAUGAGAUGCUGACAAUACUACAAAUGUAGGAGAAUAAAUUAUUUAUAUAAUACAUAAUUAAUAAUUGUAUGAACACAAAUAGAUGCUUCAAACACUUCUGCUAUCUGAAGAUCAUGCGUACUCCAGUUUUUUUGCCAAUGCCAAUACAGUAAUUUAUCUUAUUUUUAAUGAGAAGAAACAAACACCUUUGCUGACCUAUCAACUCCUUAUGGAGAUGGUGGGCCGGGUGGGGUGAUCUCAGCCGAGGAUCAAAGUUAGUGUUAACACAUGGCUAUUGAAUUCUUUGUAUUUAUUACUAUUUACAUUUUUGAGGAUGUGAUUAUCCUCUAUGUUGGAAUUUGGGUACUGUAGUCUAGUUUCUAAUAGUGUAUUAUAAUUGAGAAUUAUUUGACUUUUGUAGGAAGCAAACAAAAGGACUACGCUCACAAGGAACCAUGAAGCCAACAAUCCACGUCAACUAGAUGUUUUAGAUUUCAUUUUGUACAAAUGAUGUAUCAUACUUGCAUCUUUUACCUGUCCUUUUGUGAACCUGAUGUAUGGUGUCUCCGUAGUUAUGUUUAGAAUGGACUGAAGGCAGACUGAAGUGUAUGUAUGGGAAAACUAGUUAAUGGAAUAAAAA